RNAcentral lists this ribosomal RNA (504 nucleotides) under uncultured bacterium. RNAcentral's name for it is "bacterial SSU rRNA". It matches the Rfam family "Bacterial small subunit ribosomal RNA", at positions 29 to 523 of the family's 1533-position model. The record is from RNAcentral.
AGUGAACGCUGGCGGCAGGCCUAGUACAUGCAAGUCGAACGGCAGCACAGCAGAGCUUGCUCUGUGGGUGGCGAGUGGCGGACGGGUGAGGAAUACAUGGGAAUCUGCCCAGUCGUGGGGGAUAACGUAGGGAAACUUACGCUAAUACCGCAUGCGCCCUUCGGGGGAAAGCCGGGGACCUUCGGGCCUGGCGCGAUUGGAUGAGCCCAUGUCGGAUUAGCUAGUUGGCGGGGUAAUGGCCCACCAAGGCGACGAUCCGUAGCUGGUCUGAGAGGAUGAUCAGCCACACUGGAACUGAGACACGGUCCAGACUCCUACGGGAGGCAGCAGUAGGGAAUAUUGGACAAUGGGCGCAAGCCUGAUCCAGCCAUGCCGCGUGAGUGAAGAAGGCCCUCGGGUUGUAAAGCUCUUUUGUCCGGAAAGAAAGCGCCGGGUUAAUACCCUGGUGUCCUGACGGUACCGGAAGAAUAAGCACCGGCUAACUCGUGCCAGCAGCCGCGGUAA